GGUUAAAAGAUUUCGCAAGUGAUUCUUCGGGAAAAAUUGAACUUGAUUUUUGUCUUACAAAAAUUCGUAUUUAAACCAAAAAAGGUUAAUCUGUUUAGCAAAAUAAUGGUGUAAAAAUUAAAGAAAAAUAUGGAACUCGGCAAACUAGCUCCGAACCUUAGGAAGAAGGAGUGGCAAUUUUAACAAAUAAAUUGCUGUAAAAAAAGGAAAUCCACAACUGUUUAUUAAAAACACAUGACCAUGCUAAUUUUUAAAAGAAAGUAUAUGGUCUGACUUGUGCUAAAUGCUUGAAAAUUGAAAAAAAAAUUGUUUUGCUUUUUUAUAAAAACGAGCUAAUAGCAGUCUUAUUCCUGAGGAUUGUAAUGUAGCGAAAUUCCUUGUCCACUAAAUAUGGUCCCGCAUGAAUCAAGUAAUGAUGGAUUUGCUGUCAUGUUUUUCUGUUUUGUGAAUUUGAAGUAGGAGUGCAGAUUCUCUUUUCCAAAAUUAAGACGAAAAGACCCUAUAAAACUUUACUAAAAACAAUUAUUGCUAAAAUUCAACAUUCUGUUCAGAGUAAACAAGAGCUUAUGAAAUUUUUUAUUUAAAAAGUUGAAGCGACGCUGAGAAAUUGUUCUUUAUUGGAUUAAAGCUAAUUUUUUAAAAAGACAGUGAUUGUUUGUUAGUUUCUUUGGGGCGAAGUUCUUUUAAAAGGUAACAAAGAAGUGCAAAGGCAAAUUAAUUUGAAAAAUUUCAUUUUAAAACGAAAAAGUAUAUAUUUGCUUAACUGUAAGGUUGAUAUACCAAGCAGAAAUUAACGUUGGCUUUAUUGAACCAACUUUUUUGAUUAAAAAAGAAGUUGUUCAUCAGAUAAAAGUUACUUUAGGGAUAACAGAAUUAUAAAAAUCAAGCGAUCAGAGCGAAAUUUUUGUUUGUGACCUCGAUGUCGAUUUGUGGUAUCCUCGAGGCGAAGAAGUUUCGAAGGGUUUAACUGUUCGUUAAAUAAAACCGCACAUGAAUUGGGUUUAAAACGACGUAAGUCAGUUUUGUUUCUAUCUAAUUUUGGAUUAAAACUGAGGGGGUUCUUGUUUAGUAUGAGAAGAAUAAUAAGAAGAAGCAAAUUGUGAUUGGUUAUUUUCUAAAAAUAUUCAACUAGCAACGCUUUAUAAAAUAAAAAAUGAAAGCAUCUAUUUUUAUUUAAGUUUUCCCCAAUAAAGGUUUU
This 1198-nucleotide ribosomal RNA is filed under the name Emiliania huxleyi. RNAcentral describes it as "partial Bacterial large subunit ribosomal RNA". It matches the Rfam family "Bacterial large subunit ribosomal RNA", at positions 1582 to 2812 of the family's 2925-position model. Lineage: Eukaryota; Haptophyta; Isochrysidales; Noelaerhabdaceae. The record is from RNAcentral.